This 270-nucleotide ribosomal RNA is filed under the name uncultured bacterium. RNAcentral's name for it is "partial 16S ribosomal RNA". It matches the Rfam family "Bacterial small subunit ribosomal RNA", at positions 524 to 794 of the family's 1533-position model. The record is from RNAcentral.
UACGUAGGGGGCAAGCGUUGUUCGGAUUUACUGGGCGUAAAGGGCGCGCAGGCGGCUCAUUUUGUCAGGCGUGAAAGCCCCGGGCUUAACCUGGGAACUGCGUUGAUACGGAUGGGCUAGAGUUCGGGAGAGGAGAGUGGAAUUCCCAGUGUAGAGGUGAAAUUCGUAGAUAUUGGGAAGAACACCGGUGGCGAAGGCGGCUCUCUGGACCGAGUACUGACGUCAGAGGCGCGAAAGCGUGGGAGCAACGGAGUAAGAACCUUGGAUACG